Molecule: unclassified non-coding RNA, 323 nt
Filed under: uncultured Boletaceae
Lineage: Eukaryota; Fungi; Basidiomycota; Agaricomycetes; Boletales; Boletaceae
Description: sequence contains ITS2
Source: RNAcentral
AAUUCUCAACCAUGUCUUGUGAACGAGGCUUGGCUUGGACUUGGGGGUUGCUGGUGGCAAAGGCCGUCAGCUCUCCUGAAAUGCAUUAGCAAAGGGCAGCAAGUCCGCGACGUGACAUGGCCUUUUCGACGUGAUAAUGAUCGUCGUGGGGCUGGAAGCGUCCGGACAUGCAUCGAUUGUCUUGUUUGCUUCUAAUUCAUCCUUCGUCAAUUGGACUCGGGACUCGACUGGGGUUGGCUUAGCUAUUAGUUGGUCGUGAGGCCGACGAACGUGGCCGGCUCAGCUUCGAGCGUUUCGUGGUCUGGUUGUCGAAACCUUUGACA